CCUACGGGAGGCUGCAGUGGGGAAUAUUGGACAAUGGGCGAAAGCCUGAUCCAGCCAUGCCGCGUGUGUGAAGAAGGCCUUCGGGUUGUAAAGCACUUUCAGUGGGGAAGAAAGCCUUGGGGCUAAUACCCUCGAGGAAGGACAUCACCCACAGAAGAAGCACUGGCUAACUCCGUGCCAGCAGCCGCGGUAAUACGGAGGGUGCGAGAGUUAAUCGGAAUUACUGGGCGUAAAGCGCGCGUAGGCGGUCUGAUAAGCCGGUUGUGAAAGCCCCGGGCUCAACCUGGGAACGGCAUCCGGAACUGUCAGGCUAGAGUGCAGGAGAGGAAGGUAGAAUUCCCGGUGUAGCGGUGAAAUGCGUAGAGAUCGGGAGGAAUACCAGUGGCGAAGGCGGCCUUCUGGACUGACACUGACGCUGAGGUGCGAAAGCGUGGGUAGCAAACAGGAUUAGAUACCCUAGUAGUC
RNAcentral lists this ribosomal RNA (465 nucleotides) under Vreelandella stevensii. Its description in RNAcentral is "partial 16S ribosomal RNA". It matches the Rfam family "Bacterial small subunit ribosomal RNA", at positions 338 to 795 of the family's 1533-position model. The record is from RNAcentral. Lineage: Bacteria; Pseudomonadati; Pseudomonadota; Gammaproteobacteria; Oceanospirillales; Halomonadaceae.